RNAcentral lists this ribosomal RNA (465 nucleotides) under uncultured bacterium. RNAcentral's name for it is "partial 16S ribosomal RNA". It matches the Rfam family "Bacterial small subunit ribosomal RNA", at positions 338 to 795 of the family's 1533-position model. The record is from RNAcentral.
CCUACGGGCUGCAGCAGUGGGGAAUAUUGCGCAAUGGGCGAAAGCCUGACGCAGCGACGCCGCGUGAGGGAUGAAGGUCUUCGGAUCGUAAACCUCUGUCAGCAGGGAAGAACGGUCACUGUGCUAAUCAGCAGUGAAUUGACGGUACCUGCAAAGGAAGCACCGGCUAACUCCGUGCCAGCAGCCGCGGUAAUACGGAGGGUGCGAGCGUUAAUCGGAAUUACUGGGCGUAAAGCGCUCGUAGGCGGUAUGUCAAGUCAAGGGUGAAAUCCCCGCGCUCAACGUGGGAACUGCCUUUGAAACUGGCAAACUGGAGUGUGUGAGAGGAUAGUGGAAUUCCAGGGGUAGGAGUGAAAGCCGUAGAUAUCUGGAGGAACAUCAGGGGCGAAGGCGACUAUCUGGCACAUAACUGACGCUGAGGAGCGAAAGCGUGGGUAGCAAACAGGAUUAGAUACCCCUGUAGUC